This is a long non-coding RNA of Pundamilia nyererei, 904 nucleotides long. RefSeq lists it as uncharacterized. The transcript has 4 exons. Lineage: Eukaryota; Metazoa; Chordata; Actinopteri; Cichliformes; Cichlidae. The record is from RefSeq and is a predicted model, not a curated record.
UGCGCUCACAGUGAAGCCUGUGACUUAUUCUGAAGAACACUAAUUUCACAUGCUGUGGCUUGGACCUUAUGUUAGUGCUGGGAAUACUGCUACACCUGGUUUGUGUAUAACGGGGUCUGCAGGUGAAACAACCCGAAGGGAGAUUUUUGAGUCAGAUCAAGAUUCCCCAGCAAAGCAUCAGGAUAGAAAUCAAGAAAAACAGCAAGAUUCCUAACAAAAGGUAUGUCCACACGUGACACAUGUUGACCUCAUGCCAGAUAUGUGUUUAUAAAAACACUUUACAUGUUGUGUGCUAAUGUAAAAAUUCAUAACUAGAGACGUGUUGUUCAGCUAACAUACUGCAACAAGAAACAAAAAAGGAACAUCGGUUGGUUGAAGACUUAAUCGAACUCACAAUGAAGGCUUGUCUUGUUGGAUGUCAUGUAUAUACUACUGACAUGUACAAAGCAAGGGCAGGAACUGCUUUCUCUUCACUUCUCCGUGUACCAUAGCCUGAGACAUCCUGCAUGUGAACUUCACUCAGAGAUGGAGAAAGAUAAACACAACAGACCAGGAGAGGAGGAAGCGCAGUUAUAUUCAAAGAUGGAGUGAUGGACAGCAGAGUAUGUGAACUUCAGUGUAAACGAGGCCAGACUCCAUUAUUCCUGCUGUGAUGGAGAUCCCCAUCCUGCUGCCACUCGCCCUGGCCUUGCUGGGGUUUCUGUGCCCAUGUGUGACAACACUGACUCCCAGAGUCUCCUUCCUCAUGGAUAGUCCUGGGAGACGUCUCAUCCGCUUCAACAGCCACGAUGUCAGCAACACCACCACGCUGCUGCUCAGUGAGGAUGGGGACAUAUUAUAUGUUGGAGCCCGGGACUCUGUGUUAGCGCUGAAUGUUAGCCACAAAGACAGCAUCAUACUGAGG